Molecule: ribosomal RNA, 253 nt
Filed under: uncultured bacterium
Lineage: Bacteria
Description: partial 16S ribosomal RNA
Rfam family: Bacterial small subunit ribosomal RNA
Source: RNAcentral
UACGGAGGGUGCAAGCGUUAAUCGGAAUUACUGGGCGUAAAGCGUGCGCAGGCGGUUUGUUAAGUCUGCUGUGAAAUCCCCGAGCUCAACUUGGGAAUUGCAGUGGAUACUGGCAGGCUGGAGUAUGGUAGAGGAAGGUGGAAUUCCCGGUGUAGCAGUGAAAUGCGUAGAGAUCGGGAGGAACACCAGUGGCGAAGGCGGCAUUCUGGACCAAUACUGACGCUCAUGCACGAAAGCGUGGGGAGCAAACAGG